RNAcentral lists this ribosomal RNA (497 nucleotides) under uncultured bacterium. RNAcentral's name for it is "partial 16S ribosomal RNA". It matches the Rfam family "Bacterial small subunit ribosomal RNA", at positions 28 to 507 of the family's 1533-position model. The record is from RNAcentral.
GAUGAACGCUGGCGGCGUGCCUAAUACAUGCAAGUCGAGCGAACAGACGAGGAGCUUGCUCCUCUGACGUUAGCGGCGGACGGGUGAGUAACACGUGGAUAACCUACCUAUAAGACUGGGAUAACUUCGGGAAACCGGAGCUAAUACCGGAUAAUAUAUUGAACCGCAUGGUUCAAUAGUGAAAGACGGUUUUGCUGUCACUUAUAGCUGGAUCCGCGCCGCAUUAGCUAGUUGGUAAGGUUACGGCUUACCAAGGCAACGAUGCGUAGCCGACCUGAGAGGGUGAUCGGCCACACUGGAACUGAGACACGGUCCAGACUACUACGGGAGGCAGCAGUAGGGAAUCUUCCGCAAUGGGCGAAAGCCUGACGGAGCAACGCCGCGUGAGUGAUGAAGGUCUUCGGAUCGUAAAACUCUGUUAUUAGGGAAGAACAAAUGUGUAAGUAACUAUGCACGUCUUGACGGUACCUAAUCAGAAAGCCACGGCUAACUACGUG